AUGCGCCAGCGGCACGGGUGGUCAGGCCUGAGCAGCGAGCUCUUCUGCCCCCUCCUCAUUGGAUCGGCGGCCAGGGAGGCCAGAUCGUGUGGCACGAGAGAAGGCUCAUGUGUGAGGAAGGGGAGCAGCAACAUGCGUCGAUUGGAGAAGGGAGGAGCAACAGGUGCCACUGAAGGGAGGGGAGCAGCGGCAAGCGCGGAGGGAGGGGAGCACGGGAGCCCCAAGGGAGGCGGAGCAGCGGCAGGUGGCGUGGAGGUUGGAGAUCUUGGUGAGGACGGCGCGACGCGAGGUCAUGGUGGCAUGUGUCGGAGCAGUGGUAGGUGGCGUGUGCAGAUUAUGAGAGAGAUGGAGGUGGAUUAUGUGGACGCUCAAAAAUAUCCAUUGGCAAGGGUCUUGACGAUAUCGUUGGAAGGGGAUGCAACCAGAAAAAAGAGUUCAAAAGCCCGUAGCAACGCAUGUGCCUGA
This 465-nucleotide ribosomal RNA is filed under the name Triticum aestivum (bread wheat). Its description in RNAcentral is "partial small subunit ribosomal RNA". Lineage: Eukaryota; Viridiplantae; Streptophyta; Magnoliopsida; Poales; Poaceae. The record is from RNAcentral.